CGCAGUGCACCCGAGCCCGUGCAGUGGUUACGGAGGGCGCAUCGGCGCUUUUCCUCGACCUCGGCUCUCCUCCGCCGCAGCCACCGAGCUCGGCCUGCUCUCCAUGGGUCGAGCUGAUAUGGCCCCGCUCAAGGUGAAGCUUUUCUUUUGGAUCUUCAGGCAUGGCAAGACCCGAACGCGCGCGUUCCUGUUCCGGUCCACUUUGACGUGCUACAAAGGCCAGAAAAGGCCCAACAAUUCAAUCCUCCACGGGCCGUGGGCUUGGCUAGAAUCCUCGUCGGCGGCCGCUCCCCGGAGCCGACCCUAACCUGCCGUCUCUCCCGAGCAUCGCCGGUCCCGUCGCCUCAUCUUCCUCCGCUAUCCUCGCAGGAGCUUUGCGUGAGCGUGGGGUGGGGAGAGCGGAGAGCUCCCCGCGGCCACUCGUGUGGGCGUCGCAGUCACGCACAAGCUCUUGGCUCUCGUCCUCACCUGCCCCGCCGCCUUCUCAUGCUGCCGCCGGCUUGAAUCGGCGCCGGCGCCAGGAGACCGCACCGCCGCUGGUAGCCCACGUCGCCACCGGGAGCCUCCUGGAGCUCGCAACGAUUGGACCUCGCACCGCCACAAGGAAGCUGGAGGCAAGAGUAUUGGUGUAUCCUUGUUUUGGAAAAUGCCGUAUCGGCGUACCCGAAUCGCGUAUCGGUGAAACAUAGGUCGCACAGCGAAGGUGUUAUCUCUUGACCAAACUCCCAGCCCUCCCAAAUCUCAGCGGACGAUGC
Long non-coding RNA from Phragmites australis (common reed), 755 nucleotides. RefSeq lists it as uncharacterized. The record is from RefSeq and is a predicted model, not a curated record. The transcript has 3 exons. NCBI's taxonomy places the organism in Eukaryota, Viridiplantae, Streptophyta, Magnoliopsida, Poales, Poaceae.